CAGCGUAUUGGCUUCAGGAGCAGACUGUGAGCUGCUGUCCAGCGCGUCUUCACACCGCUAUCCCCACAUGGUCGACUCCAUCACUGCCUGUCUGGAUGCUUCCCUCUCACUGACUUUGUGUGAUUGCUGCUAAUAUCAAACAACAGUCGGUCUUCUAUAAAUGAUACCAAUCAUGGCCAAAGUGUCCCUGUACAGACAACCAGCACACUUCUUAAUGAGGAGCAGCUGUGCAGGACCUGGAACCAAAAGGCUACCUACUGAUUUUAAAAUACACAAUAAAUAUUCCAUAAAUAAUUCAACUAUUCCAUGCAAAUGUUCUUUAUGUGCAAAUCUAUGCUCAGGGUGCAAUGCUCAAUAAAGUGCCAGAUAAGGUGCUUUUAAUAAAGUGCAAUAUUAUUAAUAUCACUGUGUGCAGAUCUGCUAGCCCUGCAAUAAUAGAGCAUCCUGAAGUUGAAUAUCCACUAGCCUGGGUUCAAGAUUUGCUGCACUGGGAACCUGAAGCAUAUGAUUGCAGAGAGACUGAGCACUGCUCGGCAGAGCGCUGAUCUUUAGCCUGCUGUCGGUUCAUCAGUCGGUGUAGCUGAUUCAGGUUGAUAUUCAACUUUAUAAUCAUCAAAGUAAGCUGGGAGAUAGCUCCAAUAUAACUGAGUGAACAGCAGGCAAGUAGUACAGCAACUGGCAUACUCGGUGAGGAUAUGGGGGGGUGUAUGUGUGGUUCUAAAUAACAGGAAACAGGAAGAAUAACUAUUAUUACAUGACAAAUAUGACAAUCAUUACUGUUCAACAUCAUACACCGUUAAUCAAUUACACCAUAAAUAAUCAACUGAAUGCUCUGGCUGAAUGAAAUCUCACAGUGCCAUUUUAAACAGGCAGAAAGCAGGAAUAUCUGCAUAUCCCAAGCAACAGAAAAGGCCUAAUAUCUCAAUAUUAAUGAAAGUCAACAAUUAGGCGGUCAUUAGAGCCCUCUAGUGGUCAAAUAACCUAACUACUUUACCCAAGUCUGCCCCACGUCAAAGGCUGCGGUGGAAAGUCACAUGCUUCUACCAAUAUCAGUCAAACCUCCCAACAUACUCCAUAUCAGGUACAUGUUCUAUUAUGUGAUACUCUAACGCAGUGGUUCCCAAACUUUUUUUGCUGGGCCCCCCUUGUUUUACAAGAAAAAUGUUCGCGCCCACCCCCCACCCCCGCGCGUGCACGCACACGCACAAACACAUCCUCCAACCACACACACCCAUAUUUUGCUCCAUUUCACACCUCAAACAUUUAUUAAACAAUUAAGCAAAUACAAAUAAUCUGCAAUAAAUUACAGGUAGUAAGAAAAUAAACUACCAACUCUUUUACGCUCCGUCCGCACCUACACAGGUAUUUUUGAACACGCAGCUGUUUCGGCCACAUGUAAACGGCGUAUUGAAUCACCGAGAACGGAGAUUUUUUAAAACUCCCUUUUUUUGCGUUUAUGUGUGGACAAGGAAUACAGAGUUUGUCACGCAAUGUCAAAGGUAUGUGCCGUUUUUCAUAUCACGCUGUGCGCCACAUUAUUGUUUACAUGGGAUA
Molecule: long non-coding RNA, 1554 nt
Organism: Oreochromis niloticus (Nile tilapia)
Lineage: Eukaryota; Metazoa; Chordata; Actinopteri; Cichliformes; Cichlidae
Source: Ensembl